Molecule: ribosomal RNA, 339 nt
Filed under: Triticum aestivum (bread wheat)
Lineage: Eukaryota; Viridiplantae; Streptophyta; Magnoliopsida; Poales; Poaceae
Description: partial small subunit ribosomal RNA
Source: RNAcentral
AUGGCUAAGUCCCGGGCAUUGGUUGCAGCACUGUUGCUUGUCCUGGUGGUGUCCCUCGCCGCAAUAGAGGGUGUUCAUGGCAUAUGUGGCAUGUCAAAUGAUGAAUUCAAGCUUUGCCAGCCCGCAGCAGCAGUGGAAAACCCAACAAAUAGUCCGUCGGCUGAGUGUUGUGCCACGCUUGGGAAGGACAACCUGUUGUGCAUUUGUCGCUACAAAGGCAUCACCGGCAUAUGGCUGAGGAUGUACCACAUCGACGUAGACCGUGCAAUGGUGCUGCCGGCAAGUGCGGCCUCACCAUGCCCAGCAACUGCUCUUGAUGAUCGGGUGCACUAUCCAUAA